CGCGGUGACGUCAAGCCCAGAUCUGACUCUAUGCAAAGCGCCCCACGACGCGCGUGCAGCUGAGCACAUGGAGGAGAGAGGACGUACACUUAGCAGCCUGGCUAAUGUAGCCCGUGGGGCGCAAAAUAUUGGCAAAUGAAGAACAUUUCAGAUCUGAAAAGUGGACUGACCUGCCUUAGGCUUCCUACAUGGGCAUCCAAGAUGUAGGUGACUUUGUUUCUUCAGUACAACACAAACCACUUAUAAGUCUGUGAUCCACCAUCAAGCAAGAAGAUGAAGACGCCUCACGCGCCUGCUGCUGAGAACGCGCUCAGGAGAGUCCUAACAGUUCGGACACUGUGUGAAUCAGAGUUCUUUGUUUUAGCCAUGAUUCCCAUCUACUUCCAUUAUAAGACUGACAGACUGCAACGGUUUGUGAAAAAUCUUUGUUUGUGUUCUACUGAAGAAACAAAGUCACCUACAUCUUGGAUGCCCUGGAGAAUCCAGUCCUAGUAUCAGUCACCCUGCCAGUGAGGAAUACGGCGAAGAGGCCGUCCUGUGAGAUAAGAGACCUACACCGGACAGCAUGACCUUCAGAGGACUGGACUGAACUUGGACUGUGUUUAGGCAGCAUGAGAGAGAACAACCUCAUGCUGAAGCCAUAAAUCACUGCCAUCAACCUCAUUUAAACCAUAGCGCUGAUGUCACUGGAUAUGUUAAAUAGGGCAGCAGGCCAGGCACACGUGUACCUCUCUGAAGAAGGCCAGUUCAGUGGAAACUAGCAAGCAAACACACCGAAAAGGACACACGCUCCGUCAAUGUCAGCAAAUAUUUGGUCACAACUUUGAAGUGACAGUCGUUUGAAACAGGGAUGACGUUGUCUCUGUUAGAGCAGGUGAAUGUGCAAGUUUGCUGUUUAAAAUCAGUGUGAUUGAUUCAUUGCCAUGUAUUCUGAGCUUUUUACUAGUAAUGAUGUACAAGUCUUAGCUUUCGUAAGACCAACAUGGCCAGGUAUUUUUAGAAACAGGCUGUGAUGUAACGUGACCUGUCACCUGCGAGACCAGCUGUGCUGAUGGCUCAGAGAAAUGGACUAAUGAGAGUCCUGAAGAGAAUGUGAUGCAUUGAAUAGUGGAGUUAUAUAAAGAUGGUUUACCACUUAAAGGGAUACUCCACCCCAAAAUGAAACUUUUAUCAUUAAUCACUUACCACCAUGUCGUUCCAACCCGGUAAAAGAUUUGUCUUCGGAACACAAUUUAAGAUAUUUUGGAUGAAAACCUGGAGGCUUGUGACUGUCACAUAGACUGACAAGUAAACUAAACUGCCAAGGUCCAGAAAAGUAUGUAAAGCAUCGUCAGAAUAGUCCAUCUGCCUUCAGUGGUUCAACCGUAACUUUAUGAAGCGACAAGAAUACUUUUUGUAUGAGAAGAAAACAAAAAUAAUGACUUUAUUCUACAAUUUUCCUCUGUCUCUCCCCAUAUCAAUGUAGUGCCAUUUUGGAAAACACCUGCUGAACGGAAGAUAGAUUGCAAUCUACCAAACAGCUCCAUAUAACACGUAUACUCUGUUAUACAGCUCCAUAUAAUACAUAAAUAUAAUAAAUAAUUGUGAAUAACCUUUAAA
Molecule: long non-coding RNA, 1599 nt
Organism: Carassius gibelio (silver crucian carp)
Lineage: Eukaryota; Metazoa; Chordata; Actinopteri; Cypriniformes; Cyprinidae
Exons: 5
Source: RefSeq, a predicted model, not a curated record